RNAcentral lists this ribosomal RNA (253 nucleotides) under uncultured bacterium. Its description in RNAcentral is "partial 16S ribosomal RNA". It matches the Rfam family "Bacterial small subunit ribosomal RNA", at positions 524 to 776 of the family's 1533-position model. The record is from RNAcentral.
GACAGAGGUCCCGAGCGUUAGGCGGAAUCACUGGGCUUAAAGCGUGUGUAGGCGGAUGUCUAAGUACCUUGUGAAAUCCCACGGCUCAACCGUGGAACUGCUUGGUAUACUGGAUGUCUUGAGCCAUCUAGGGGCUACCGGAACAAAUGGUGGAGCGGUGAAAUGCGUAGAUAUCAUUUGGAACGCCAAUGGUGAAAACAGGUAGCUGGGGAUGUGCUGACGCUGAGACACGAAAGCCAGGGGAGCGAACGGG